This 284-nucleotide ribosomal RNA is filed under the name uncultured bacterium. Its description in RNAcentral is "partial 16S ribosomal RNA". It matches the Rfam family "Bacterial small subunit ribosomal RNA", at positions 334 to 632 of the family's 1533-position model. The record is from RNAcentral.
CUUUCCUACGGGGGGCAGCAGUGGGGAAUAUUGGGCAAUGGGCGCAAGCCUGACCCAGCAACGCCGCGUGAAGGAAGAAGGCUUUCGGGUUGUAAACUUCUUUUGUCAGGGACGCAGCAAGUGACGGUACCUGACGAAUAAGCCACGGCUAACUACGUGCCAGCAGCCGCGGUAAUCCGUAGGUGGCAAGCGUUAUCCGGCUUUAUUGGGUGUACAUGGCGUGUAGGCGGGAAUGCCAGUCCGCUGUGAAAACUAUGGGCUCAACCCAUAGCCUGCAUUUGCAA